CAUGUCCUUUUGAAUAUAAUUUAAGGUCUAAUCUGCUCAAUGAGAUUUAAAUAGCCGCAGUAUUUUGACUGUGCAAAGGUAGCAUAAUAAUUAGUCUCUUAAUUAGAGGCUGGUAUGAAUGAUUGGACAAGAAAAUUUCUGUCUCUUUUUUAAGUUUAUUGAAUUUUAUUUUUAAGUGAAAAAGCUUAGAUUUUUAUAAAAGACGAGAAGACCCUAUAGAGUUUAAUAUUUUUAAUUGAACUUAACAUUAGAAUUUUAUUUUUAUUUAAAUUUAUUUGGUUGGGGUGAUUUAAAGAUUGAAUUAAUUCUUUAAAACUAAUUAUUGGAGAUUUCUAAAUUUUAAAUCUAUAUUUUAUAAAUUUAAAAUAAAUUACCUUAGGGAUAACAGCGUAAUUUUUUUUUAUAGUUCUUAUUGAAAGAAAAGUUUGCGACCUCGAUGUUGGAUUAAAAUUAAUUUUUGGUGCAGUAGCUGAAAAAUUAGGUCUGUUCGACCUUUAAAAUUUUACAUGAUCUGAGUUUAAACCGGUGUAAACCAGGUUGGAUUCUAUCUUUAGAAAUAUAAUAUAUUUUAGUACGAAAGGACAGGAUAUAUAUUAUAUUAAUUG
This 605-nucleotide ribosomal RNA is filed under the name Eniclases pseudoapertus. RNAcentral's name for it is "partial 16S ribosomal RNA". It matches the Rfam family "Bacterial large subunit ribosomal RNA", at positions 1816 to 2714 of the family's 2925-position model. The record is from RNAcentral. Lineage: Eukaryota; Metazoa; Arthropoda; Insecta; Coleoptera; Lycidae.